RNAcentral lists this ribosomal RNA (394 nucleotides) under uncultured bacterium. RNAcentral describes it as "partial 16S ribosomal RNA". It matches the Rfam family "Bacterial small subunit ribosomal RNA", at positions 338 to 729 of the family's 1533-position model. The record is from RNAcentral.
CCUACGGGUGGCAGCAGUGAGGAAUAUUGGUCAAUGGUCGCGAGACUGAACCAGCCAAGUAGCGUGAAGGAAGACUGUACUGAGUGUCGUAAACUUCUUUUGUCAAGGAACAAAGUCAGGGACGCGUCCCUUGUUGUGUGUACUUUAUGAAUAAGCAUCGGCUAACUCCGUGCCAGCAGCCGCGGUAAUACGGAGGAUCCGAGCGUUAUCCGGAUUUAUUGGGUUUAAAGGGAGGGUAGACGGGUUGUUAAGUCAGUUGUGAAAGGCUGCGGGUCAAACGCAAAAUUGCAUUUGAUACUGGCAGUCUCGAGUAGAGGUGAGGUAGGCGGAAUGCGUGGUGUAGCGGUGAAAUGCUUAGAUAUCGCGAAGAACUCCGAUUGCGAAGGCAGCUUAC